AACUUUUGGCAAUGGAUCUCUUGGUUCUGGCAUCGAUGAAGAACGCAGCGAAAUGCGAUAAGUAGUGUGAAUUGCAGAAUUCAGUGAAUCAUCGAAUCCUUGAACGCACAUUGCACCCCUCGGUAUCCCGGGGGGCAUGCCUGUUCGAGCGUCAUUUCUACCACUCAAGCAUAGCUUGGUAUUGGGCACCGUUGCUUUUUAAAAGAUAAACGCGCCUUAAAUGUAGACGGCGGCAAACACUAGUUCCGAGCGUAGCAGUAAAACAUUUCGCUUUAGAGAAUUUAGUAUAUUGUCAACCGCAUAGUUUUUACUACAGUUUGACCUCGGAUCAGGCAGGGAUACCCGCUGAACUUAAGCAUAUCAAUAAGCGGAGGCU
Molecule: unclassified non-coding RNA, 376 nt
Filed under: uncultured Dothideomycetes
Lineage: Eukaryota; Fungi; Ascomycota; Dothideomycetes
Description: sequence contains ITS2
Rfam family: 5.8S ribosomal RNA (bases 1-154)
Source: RNAcentral